GGAAGGAAAGACAUAGAAUUUGGAUUUUUCUUCUUCGUAGAGUUUUGGGAAGACUGAGGCAAUCGCUGCUGAAGUCAGUGUUGUAAUGGUGAAUCGGGAUUUUUAAAUGAAGUGGGUUUGAAUACUCUUGACUGUUUUGUAAAAUCGAGUUACGUCUGUGAUUGAAGGAUUAAAAGGGUGUCUAUAGGAUUGAGUAUGCAGAGUGAAUGAAAUUUAUUGGGUUAAUCUAACAGGACAGUCAGUGGAUACAAGAUCGUAAGUACAAAG
Molecule: long non-coding RNA, 267 nt
Filed under: Physcomitrium patens
Lineage: Eukaryota; Viridiplantae; Streptophyta; Bryopsida; Funariales; Funariaceae
Description: long non-coding RNA (PPAT_LNC003086)
Source: RNAcentral